Molecule: small nucleolar RNA, 107 nt
Organism: Gossypium arboreum
Lineage: Eukaryota; Viridiplantae; Streptophyta; Magnoliopsida; Malvales; Malvaceae
Rfam family: Plant small nucleolar RNA R71
About the family: R71 is a member of the C/D box family of snoRNAs containing the C (UGAUGA) and D (CUGA) box motifs. Multiple nearly identical copies of this snoRNA have been identified in Arabidopsis, and it is thought to function as a 2'-O-ribose methylation guide for 18S ribosomal RNA.
Source: Rfam
AACCCAUGGUGAAGGCACUUUCUCAACAAGUCUUUGUAUAUCUCCCAUACGUCAUAAAGAGUUUCUAAAUCCAUCUGCACAAAAGAAGAGAUAUCAUUCCUUAAUUU